AGGAGGGACAACCGCAGUGGCGGCGGCCAGCUCUGGAGCCCUAGAGUCAGCCUCCGCAGUAACUCCGGAGCUCUCUGUCUGCAGGGGCUUGGAUGAUCUGGGGGCGG
RNAcentral lists this microRNA precursor (107 nucleotides) under Canis lupus familiaris (dog). Its description in RNAcentral is "mir-8834 microRNA precursor family". It matches the Rfam family "mir-8834 microRNA precursor family". The record is from Rfam by way of RNAcentral. Lineage: Eukaryota; Metazoa; Chordata; Mammalia; Carnivora; Canidae.